This is a long non-coding RNA of Anopheles funestus (African malaria mosquito), 1690 nucleotides long. RefSeq lists it as uncharacterized. NCBI's taxonomy places the organism in Eukaryota, Metazoa, Arthropoda, Insecta, Diptera, Culicidae. The transcript has 4 exons. The record is from RefSeq and is a predicted model, not a curated record.
CUCGGCUAAUGUGUCUUGGAUAAGGUGUCUUGGCUAAGGUGUCUUGGCUAAUGUGUCUCGGCUAAUGUGUCUUGGCUAAGGUGUCUUGGCUAAUGUGUCUUGGCUAAUGUGUCUUGGCUAAGGUGUCUUGGCUAAGGUGUCUUGGCUAAUGUGUCUUGGCUAAAGUGUCUUGGCUAAGGUGUCUUGGCUAAUGUGUCUCGGCUAAGGUGUCUUGGCUAAAGUGUCUUGGCUAAUGUGUCUUGGCUAAGGUGUCUUGGCUAAGGUGUCUUGGCUAAGGUGUCUUGGCUAAGGUGUCUUGGCUAAGGUGUCUUGGCUAAUGUGUCUUGGCUAAUGUGUCUUGGCUAAAGUGUCUUGGCUAAGGUGUCUUGGCUAAUGUGUCUUGGCUAAAGUGUCUUGGCUAAGGUGUCUUGGCUAAUGUGUCUCGGCUAAGGUGUCUUGGCUAAGGUGUCUUGGCUAAGGUGUCUUGGCUAAGGUGUCUUGGCUAAGGUGUCUUGGCUAAUGUGUCUUGGCUAAUGUGUCUUGGCUAAAGUGUCUUGGCUAAGGUGUCUUGGCUAAUGUGUCUCGGCUAAGGUGUCUUGGCUAAGGUGUCUUGGCUAAGGUGUCUUGGCUAAUGUGUCUCGGCUAAUGUGUCUUGGCUAAGGUGUCUUGGCUAAUGUGUCUUUGCUAAUGUGUCUUGGCUAAGGUGUCUUGGCUAAGGUGUCUUGGCUAAUGUGUCUUGGCUAAAGUGUCUUGGCUAAGGUGUCUUGGCUAAUGUGUCUCGGCUAAUGUGUCUUGGCUAAGGUGUCUUGGCUAAGGUGUCUUGGCUAAAGUGUCUUGGCUAAGGUGUCUUGGCUAAGGUGUCUUGGCUAAGGUGUCUUGGCUAAGGUGUCUUGGCUAAAGUGUCUUGGCUAAUGUGUCUUGGCUAAGGUGUCUUGGCUAAUGUGUCUCGGCUAAGGUGUCUUGGCUAAGGUGUCUUGGCUAAGGUGUCUUGGCUAAUGUGUCUCGGCUAAGGUGUCUUGGCUAAGGUGUCUUGGCUAAGGUGUCUUGGCUAAGGUGUCUUGGCUAAGGUGUCUUGGCUAAUGUGUCUUGGCUAAGGUGUCUUGGCUAAGGUGUCUUGGUUAAGGUGUCUUGGCUAAGGUGUCUUGGCUAAGGUGUCUUGGCUAAGGUGUCUUGGCUAAGGUGUCUUGGCUAAUGUGUCUCGGCUAAAGUGUCUUGGAUAAGGUGUCUUGGCUAGAGUGUCUUGGCUAAUGUGUCUCGGCUAAUGUGUCUUGGCUAAGGUGUCUUGGCUAAUGUGUCUUGGCUAAUGUGUCUUGGCUAAGGUGUCUUGGCUAAGGUGUCUUGGCUAAUGUGUCUUGGCUAAAGUGUCUUGGCUAAGGUGUCUUGGCUAAUGUGUCUCGGCUAAGGUGUCUUGGCUAAAGUGUCUUGGCUAAUGUGUCUUGGCUAAUGUGUCUUGGCUAAGGUGUCUUGGCUAAGGUGUCUUGGCUAAGGUGUCUUGGCUAAGGUGUCUUGGCUAAUGUGUCUUGGCUAAAGUGUCUUGGCUAAGGUGUCUUGGCUAAGGUGUCUUGGCUAAGGUGUCUUGGCUAAGGUGUCUUGGCUAAAGUGUCUUGGCUAAUGUGUCUUGGCUAAGGUGUCUCGGCUAAUGUGUCUUGGCUAAGGUGUCUUGGCUAAGGUGUCUUGGCUAAUGUGUCUUGGCUAAUGUGUCUUGGCUAAG